This 397-nucleotide ribosomal RNA is filed under the name uncultured bacterium. RNAcentral's name for it is "partial 16S ribosomal RNA". It matches the Rfam family "Bacterial small subunit ribosomal RNA", at positions 360 to 774 of the family's 1533-position model. The record is from RNAcentral.
AAUUUUCCGCAAUGGGCGAAAGCCUGACGGAGCAACGCCGCGUGAGGGAAGAAGGNCUNNGGAUCNUNAACCUUUGUCAUCGANNNNNAUAACGACGGUCCUCGAGGAGGAAGCCCCGGCUAACUACGUGCCAGCAGCCGCGGUAAUACGUAGGGGGCGAGCGUUGUCCGGAAUUACUGGGCGUAAAGGGUACGUAGGCGGCUAUAUAAGUCAGGUGUGAAAUACCAGUGCUUAACACUGGAAUUGCAUUUGAAACUGUGUAGCUUGAGUGCAGGAGAGGAAAGUGGAAUUCCUAGUGUAGCGGUGAAAUGCGUAGAGAUUAGGAGGAACACCAGUGGCGAAGGCGACUCUCUGGUCUGUAACUGACGCUGAGGCGCGAAAGCGUGGGGAUCAAACA